This 254-nucleotide ribosomal RNA is filed under the name uncultured bacterium. Its description in RNAcentral is "partial 16S ribosomal RNA". It matches the Rfam family "Bacterial small subunit ribosomal RNA", at positions 524 to 776 of the family's 1533-position model. The record is from RNAcentral.
UACGUAGGGCGCGAGCGUUGUCCGGAAUUAUUGGGCGUAAAGAGCUCGUAGGCGGCCUGUUGCGUCCGCUGUGAAAUCCCGGGGCUCAACCCUGGGCGUGCAGUGGAUACGGGCAGGCUGGAGGCAGGCAGGGGGAGAACGGAAUUCCUGGUGUAGCGGUGAAAUGCGCAGAUAUCAGGAGGAACACCGGUGGCGAAGGCGGUUCUCUGGGCAUGUCCUGACGCUGAGGAGCGAAAGUGUGGGGAGCGAACAGG